AGCGGCACUACAAGCAAUCACACAUGAAGCCAAUGAAAGAUAGAGCAUCACCCAAUAAACACUUGGUUUCCAAUGUUCAAGACCAACGUCCUCCUCAUCAUCAAGAAUAUCAGAUAAAGAAGAAGAAGAAGUUAAAAUUACUGAAAAAUAAAUAUGAAAUGUAGAAGAAAUCUUGAUAAUUUUGCAUACGUCACUUUCUGGACUGAAUGAGAAGUUCAUUUAAAUUACCUGAACAUCCAAAAAAUCCAUAAAGAACUACUGCAGCUCUUCCAGCAGUUGUUUGAGGAGCCGUACUUCCAUAACCUACAGAAACAAUGGUUCCAACAAAAUGAAAACUACCAGGAAAAUCCCAACGACGUCUUUUAUUGAUGAUACCAAUUGACGACGCAUUUCCAUAAGCGUAAAGCAACUCAUGUAAACGUUGAAUUGCAUGAGGGCUAUUCCUCAAGUGAUAUCUUUUAAAGGCAUUAUAUAUCCUCCAGAAUUCAGAAGCCUAACAGGUCAGCUUCUAAUGUUUGGAACAAGGCAGCUCCAGCGAGCAUAUAAACGGCAAGAACAAAAGCAAGAAGAAUAAAUCUGGCAUUGUCUUCCGCGAUAUUUCCGCAGAUGCACAUCCCCGACGGAUCGCAUCUCUCUGUUACUCGAAACUUGCGGAUUCUGUCCCCACUACGAGCCAGGAUUCCGCUUUCCGGACCAAACUCGCGCAAGCUCCUCAACGUGCUCUCCUGUUUCUGACCAACGAAAUGGAAUCGAAAUCUGCGCUGUUUUGUUUGUCUCGCUGCGAUCAUAUUCUGUUUUUCUACUCUUUGAAAAGAUCCCACGGCUUCAUAAGGAAAAGGAAGUCUCGUUAUCAUCUGAGGUAAAUCUCACCAGUGUUUGUAUUUGACGAUUUUGUUCAGCGGCAACUCGAGCAAUGUCACCCUCAGUCUUUCUAACGAAUUU
Molecule: long non-coding RNA, 942 nt
Organism: Leptopilina boulardi
Lineage: Eukaryota; Metazoa; Arthropoda; Insecta; Hymenoptera; Figitidae
Exons: 6
Source: RefSeq, a predicted model, not a curated record